Molecule: long non-coding RNA, 366 nt
Organism: Ochotona princeps (American pika)
Lineage: Eukaryota; Metazoa; Chordata; Mammalia; Lagomorpha; Ochotonidae
Exons: 3
Source: RefSeq, a predicted model, not a curated record
CCCCCCAGCCCCACCAAAGCUCCAGCCCUCGGAAACACACACUUGACAUCACAACCAAGGUUUUGACAAAGCCAUAUUCAUCCCUAUUACAGGACCUAGGCCAUCUGCGGGCCAGAUCCUGCCCCACGAGCUCCCUGCCAUUCUGUCUGACCUGAGACUGCGGGCGCCAACAUCCAGGAGAUAUAGACAUCUGUGUGUUUAUUUAUGCUGGAGUUAGAGAGAGAAAAAAGAAUGGCAAAAAUCUUCCAUAUGCUGCUUCACAUCCCAAACGACUGCAACAGCCAGAGCUGAGCCAGGCUGAAGCCCCCAAGGAACUGGUCCAUCAGGUGCCUCCCCUAGGACCCAAGACCUGAAAAGUCCCUGUGC